AGGGGCGUGUGAGCAGAGGCUGGGCUCCGCCGGCUGGGCGGGGGGCAGCGCCCAGCGGGGUUGGGUCCCCGCGGCGCGCACGUGCCUCCCGGAGGGCGGGAGCGAGUGAGAGCGGCGGGGAUUCCGCUGCUGCCGCCCCGCCCUGCCCCGCCCUGCCCCGCCCUGCCCCGCCCUGCCCCGCGCUGCCCCGCAGCGCUUGGGGCGGGGAGGAGCCCCGACGGCCUGCGCUGGCCCCAGGGGCCGUGCCCCGCCCCCCCGUGUUGGUGCUCGGAGGCUGUUGGUGGAAGUGGCGGGGUCAGCGCGGGCUGGUGGGUGGAUCCAAGGGUGGAAGGACAGGGGUGUGCGUGUGUGUGUCAGCACUGCAAGGCCCAGCACGGCCAGGGCAGCGCCUCUAGAAGGCUGCUCCUGGGGCGCGGGUGCCAGGACACAUGGCAGCUGGCAGCUCGGACAGCUCCCUGGCAGAUGUCACUGCGUCCUGGCGGCUGGGAGGACAGCCUCUAGCAGUCUGCAGACAUUGCCUUCAGGCUGAAGUCAAGCGUGGGGAAGAGCAACCUGCAGGCAGCAAGCUGCCCUCAAGUUCAUGGAUCUGAGCAGAGCAGGACGUGCUGGCAAAGGGCCACCCUCUUAGGGCUCGUGAUGCCUACAGGUUCUAAGGAAGUGAUCUCGUGCCUGCUGUGCCCAGCCCACCAGCACCUCUCAGCUGCCAAGCUCCUCCAGACCUACCGGGUCUCUCAGUUCCUGCUCCCGGGGCUCCUGCCUUUGGACACCUAGGCCUCCAAGCACUUGACACCCACAUGCAGUGUUGGGGUCCCUUCAUCUUCAGGAGGCCACCAAUAAAAGCCUUGAACCCUG
This is a long non-coding RNA of Apus apus (common swift), 852 nucleotides long. RefSeq lists it as uncharacterized. Lineage: Eukaryota; Metazoa; Chordata; Aves; Apodiformes; Apodidae. The record is from RefSeq and is a predicted model, not a curated record. The transcript has 2 exons.